RNAcentral lists this long non-coding RNA (235 nucleotides) under Pelobates cultripes (western spadefoot toad). Lineage: Eukaryota; Metazoa; Chordata; Amphibia; Anura; Pelobatidae. The record is from RNAcentral.
AUUAUUUUUAUUUUUUUAUUAACACUAACUUUAAUUUUUUUUUUGAUUUUACACUAGCAGGGAGACUGCCUGUCAGCACAGGCAGCCCCCCUGCAGGCAGCACUAUGGACACCUAUUGUGACCAUGUGAUCGCUGUGUUAAGCGAUCACAUGGCCACAGGGGUCCUAAUCUGCCGUGGGGAGACUGUCUGGGCUGCAGGCAGUCUCCCCACAACCGGAGCCACGCUGAUCGCCGC